UCAUUUCCUGCUUGAGGUGAUGAAGGAAACAGAGCCAGCAGAUAUCCAGUGUCAGACACUGAGACACUUAACACUGAUCUAAGGCCCAGGAAACACACAGACAUGUGCCCCAUGCCUCUCCAAAGCCUGCUCUCUAUGUUGGUGGCCUUGGCCUUAUCUGGAUUCAAUUUGGGCCAGAAAGUGACUCAGUUCCAAUCAACCGUAAGCACACAGGAGGGAAAAGAAGUCACCCUAGACUGUUCAUAUGAGACAAGUCGGAGCUUAUACUAUCUUUAUUGGUACAAGCAGCUUCCUAGUGGAGAAAUGAUUAUUCUUCUUCGCCAAAUGUCUUCUUCUCCUCGGACUGACAAGUGGAACCGCUACUCUGUCACCUUCCAGAAAUCAGCCAAGUCCAUCAGCCUUGUCAUUUCAGCCUCACAGGUGGAAGAUUCAGUGAAGUAUUUCUGUGCACUCUGCGAACAGACUCACAGUGUUUGAAAAGAUAGCACAAGCUGAACAAAAACUGCAGCUCCUUGAGCAGAGCAUCUCUCAGGGAGCCCCGAUGAGAGGAACAUCUGCACACCCAGGCCAGAAGGUCCCAACCAUGACUCCUUCGUCUGUGGUCUGCUCAGAUGUGUGUUUCUAAGUAAAACCUCAUAUUAUGCAAUUUA
Myodes glareolus (Bank vole) is the source of this 650-nucleotide non-coding RNA. The record is from the annotation of a RefSeq genome assembly. Lineage: Eukaryota; Metazoa; Chordata; Mammalia; Rodentia; Cricetidae.